UGAAACAAAUAUGAUGAUUGAACGUUUUUUAAACAAAAAUGGCAGUUGGUUAGAAGGAGCAGAUUUACAAUUUUACCUACAAAUGGAACAUCCCUGCCCUACCUCAUCAACUGGAAGCAAUCGACCUGAAGGUAGACCAAAAAAAAAUUUUGAAGAGUCGUCUUUUAAAACGAAAAAACCAAGGGUCGAAGACUUACUACAAUCGCGAAGUGCCAUCGAGUUCACAGGAGCCGCGGAAGUAGCAAAUCGCUUUGAGGGUAAUAGAAGCAUAGCUACUUCGAUUAAAGUUUGAAAUCUACAGAAAAAAGAAGUAUGGUAAUACCACAUGCGAAGGCAGGCAAUUGGCAAGUGAUGAGGCAUUAGCUUAUUAUGUGGAUUCUAAGUGCACAAGUUACUCCUGUAAACAGACGCGUAAAUGGUCAUUGAAGGCGGGACAUAAAGUUUUUCUAUCCUAUUUUAGUUUACGUAAGUCUAAAAAUUUGUGUUACCCUGCAGAUGAGCAUAUCUUGGUAACAGAAACGCGCGCCGAAAUUAUACUUCAACGCAUUUUGGAUAAAACCGCUAAACGUUUAAUUGAAGCGCAAUGUGAAGUUUUUAAAGCAAAUAUAUCUUCUAAGUCGUCAUUCACACUAAUCAGCAAAUGGGGAUGUGACGGAAGCUCCGGCCAUAGCGCUUAUAAACAGAAAUUUGAGAACUGCGAUGCUACUGAUGAGUAUAUGUUUGUUUUUGCUAUUGUCCCAUUGAGAUUGAGUGACGAUGCCAGCCAAAAUAUUUUAUGGCAAAAUCCGCGGCCUUCGUCCACACUCUAUUGUCGCCCAAUUAAGCUUAUUUUUUAUAAAGGAAACAACUGAUUUUACUAUAUCAGAAACUAACAAGGUUUUGGAAGAAGUAUCUCAAUUUCUUCCAACACUUUGUGAUAAUCGCGGUUCUCAAAUUUUGGUAAAACGUAAUAUAGAUUUACUACAUAUGCUUUUAAUAACAUCCGAUCCGGUAAUCAACUAACUCAGAGAAGUUCCUAGAAAGAGAACAGAUAAAUUACCGGAGGAAGUUCUAAAUUUAAUUGUCCCGCCUUCAAUACCAUCAAAAGUACCACGUCAGGUAACAUGUGACCAUGACGAUAAAGAUUAUCUAGUAUCUGAUUCAGAUGAAUCUAACAGUGAUGAUGAGUCAUUCAAUGAGUAAUGAUAUAGUAUAUAAUAUUAAACAUUUUGUUGUUGUGUGUUAUUGUUAUUUUUAUAUUACUGUUAUUAUAAGGUCUGUUGGUAAAAAUUCCCUUACUAAUCAUCGCGUUUUUCAAUAGUUGUAAUGUAAUGGACUUAUGUAUUAGUACGUAUUUUAUACAUCCAAGUAAAUGUUAUUGUAUGUUUUGAAAUUUAAAAAAAUAAUUAAAUAUAUUUCUUACACAAUUUUUUGUUUUCUAUUCGUAAAUCUAAAAAAAAAUAUAUUAAUUUUUCAAUGAAACUUAAAAUCAUUAAUCAACACGACCAAAACAAUUAAAUUUCAAACUAAAAUAUUUUUGUCCCCCUAGCUUGUAUUAAACGACACACUGUGCAGCCGGGGGAUGCAGAGGAAGAGGAAGAUCUCACCUCCGUUGGAAGGAGCAAGUAUGGAAGGACCUGGCUUCGCUUGGAAUAUUCAAUUGGCGACACGUAGCGAAAAGAAAAAACGACUGGUGCGGUGUUGUUAUUGCAGCUAACGGGUGAUUUUUUUGAGGUUAGGAUUUUCAUGCAUUAGUAUUUGACAGAUCACGUGGGAUUUCAGACAUGGUGUCAAAGAGAAAGAUGCUCAGUAUGCUUUGACAUUUCAUCAUGAAUAGACUUACUAACGAGCAACGCUUGCAAAUCAUUGAAUUUUAUUACCAAAAUCAGUGUUCGGUUCGAAAUGUGUUUCGCGCUUUAUUUUGUUCAGCGAUGAGGCUCAUUUCUGGUUGAAUGGCUACGUAAAUAAGCAAAAUUGCCGCAUUUGGGGUGAAGAGCAACCAGAAGCCGUUCAAGAACUGCCCAUGCAUCCCGAAAAAUGCACUGUUUGGUGUGGUUUGUACGCUGGUGGAAUCAUUGGACCGUAUUUUUUCAAAGAUGCUGUUGGACGCAACGUUACGGUGAAUGGCGAUCGCUAUCGUUCGAUGCUAACAAACUUUUUGUUGCCAAAAAUGGAAGAACUGAACUUGGUUGACAUGUGCUCGCGAUUCUAUGGCCAUUUUGAGGGAAAACUUCGGACAACAAUUCAUCUCAAGAAAUGGACCCGUAAGUUGGCCACCAAGAUCAUGCGAUUUAACGCCUUUAGACUAUUUUUUGUGGGGCUACGUCAAGUCUAAAGUCUACAGAAAUAAGCCAGCAACUAUUCCAGCUUUGGAAGACAACAUUUCCGAAGAAAUUCGGGCUAUUCCGGCCGAAAUGCUCGAAAAAGUUGCCCAAAAUUGGACUUUCCGAAUGGACCACCUAAGACGCAGCCGCGGUCAACAUUUAAAUGAAAUUAUCUUCAAAAAGUAAAUGUCAUGAACCAAUCUAACGUUUCAAAUAAAGAACCGAUGAGAUUUUGCAAAUUUUAUGCGUUUUUUUUUUAAAAAAAGUUAUCAAGCUCUUAAAAAAUCACCCUUUAUAAUCGCGUAAGCGGUGUCUACGCCGAAGAAGAAUAUUUAAAAGGUGGAAAUUAAAGAAAUCUAAUGAAUGAUUAAUUUUUUAGUAAAUUUAACCGUGGAUAACUUGGUGGAUAGCUUUUGCUUCUAAAGUACAAAAAAGCAAGGAAUCAAGCGAAUUUUUUUAUAUGGCUUAUCACCGAAAUUAAAAAAAAAUGGAACAAUAGUAAAAUCUGAAACAUUAAAACGAUUCUAUUCUAGGUAGGUAGGAGUGCAGCCCUGUUGUUGCUCGGGCUCAACUAGCACUGGCUCUGUCAUUUUGUUGCACUAUUCGUAGACAUUUUAUAUUUGCUACCACAUUUUUAUAUUUGCUUGCACCUUCACUUUCAAACCAUUUUGAAGUUUCGAUGAAGCUACUUAUGUCCGAUAAGCUUUUGGACAUAAUGGCCAGUGCCCUGUUAUGGUAGCUGUUACUCUGUAGAUACUUUUCAUAGACCUAUUUAACUCUGGCUCACCAAUGUUAGUCGUUUCGUCGUUUUUUUUUUUUAUCUAUCGUCCUCUGAUUUAAUAUUGUGACAGUUGAUUCAGUUGCAAAGCUACUGCCGAUGAACACAGUCACGUUGUGUGGAUUAGCUGAAGGUGCAACUUUUUUUAGCGAGUAAUAUGGCUGCACAUAGAAUAUCUGACGAUGAAAUUGAGAGAAUUUUGGAUCUUUCCGAUGAUGAAGAAGAAGAUUUCAGUGCUUCCGAAAGCGAGUACGCACCAAGUCCAUCCGAAGAAAUGAUGCAGGGAAGUUUGUCAGAUGAAGCAGUAAAUAGUGAUGGUUUUGAAUGCAGUGAUCACAAUCUGGAAGGCAGCGAUGAAGAAAGCAGUAAUAGUCCUACUCAACCGACUCACAAAAAUAUUAUACCUUUUUCAAAAAACAUUUUACGUGGGAAGAAUAAACACUAAUGGACGACAAGCAAAGGAAGACGACAUCGUUCAGCGGGAAAUAUAGUGCAUCAGGCUAGGUGCCCAACAAAAGAGGCUAAGGGUAUUACUGACCCUUUAGAAGUGUUUAAGCUUUUCUUUACUGAAGAAAUUAUAGACACGGUGGUCCGCUAUACCAAUUUUGAAAUUGAAAAAAGGAAACAGAGCGCUAAUGCAGACUAUGCCACUAAAAAGCCAGUUGAUAAAAAAGAGAUUGAGGCUCUUAUUGGAAUUUUGGCCUUAAGCGCUGUUAUGAAAGAUAACCAUUUGACUUCUCAUGAAAUAUUUAACUUAGAAUAUUCUGGCACUAGAUACAUAGCAACAAUGAGCCGCUUCCGAUUUACUUUCUUGAUGGUGUGUCUGCGUUUUGACGAUAGGUCUCAAAGAACUUUACGUCUUAAUGACAGAUUUGCUCCUAUAAGAGAUGUUUGGGAAAUGUUUAUGCAAAAAUGUCGGGAGAACUAUAACCCCGGGCUCUAUCUCACGAUUGAUGAGCAGCUUUCAGCAUUUCGUGGAAGAUGCCUAUUCCGAAUGUACAUCCCAAACAAACCAGCUAAAUAUGGGCUAAAGAUCAUAGUUCUCUGCGAUAGUGGAACAUAUUAUGUAGUGGAUGCAAUGUCUUAUUUA
Bactrocera dorsalis (oriental fruit fly) is the source of this 4171-nucleotide long non-coding RNA. RefSeq lists it as uncharacterized. The record is from RefSeq and is a predicted model, not a curated record. The transcript has 3 exons. NCBI's taxonomy places the organism in Eukaryota, Metazoa, Arthropoda, Insecta, Diptera, Tephritidae.